Non-coding RNA from Acanthosepion pharaonis, 113 nucleotides. The record is from the annotation of a GenBank genome assembly. NCBI's taxonomy places the organism in Eukaryota, Metazoa, Mollusca, Cephalopoda, Sepiida, Sepiidae.
UAUGGCCAUAUCAUAUUGAAACACCAGUUCCUGUAUGAUCACCGAAGUUAAGACAACAUCGAGCUGGGUCAGUAUAGAGAUGGGUGAUCGCUUGCGAAAAUGAGGUUCUGUAA